UAAAGAAUUUCGGUCAUCGAUGGGGAUGCGUUCCAUUAGCUUGUUGGCGGGGUAACGGCCCACCAAGGCAUCGAUGGAUAGGGGUUCUGAGAGGAAGGUCCCCCACAUUGGAACUGAGACACGGUCCAAACUCCUACGGGAGGCAGCAGUGAGGAAUAUUGGUCAAUGGGCGCUAGCCUGAACCAGCCAAGUAGCGUGAAGGAUGACUGCCCUAUGGGUUGUAAACUUCUUUUAUAUGGGAAUAAAGUGCAGUAUGUAUACUGCUUUGCAUGUACCUUAUGAAUAAGGAUCGGCUAACUCCGUGCCAGCAGCCGCGGUAAUACGGAGGAUCCGAGCGUUAUCCGGAUUUAUUGGGUUUAAAGGGAGCGUAGGCGGGUUGUUAAGUCAGUUGUGAAAGUUUGCGGCUCAACCGUAAAAUUGCAGUUGAUACUGGCAUCCUUGAGUACAGUAGAGGUAGGCGGAAUUCGUGGUGUAGCGGUGAAAUGCUUAGAUAUCACGAAGAACUCCGAUUGCGAAGGCAGCCUGCUGGACUGUAACUGACGCUGAUGCUCGAAAGUGUGGGUAUCAAACAGGAUUAGAUACCCUGGUAAUCCACACAGUAAACGAUGAAUACUCGCUGUUUGCGAUAUACAGUAA
This 636-nucleotide ribosomal RNA is filed under the name uncultured bacterium. RNAcentral describes it as "bacterial SSU rRNA". It matches the Rfam family "Bacterial small subunit ribosomal RNA", at positions 202 to 842 of the family's 1533-position model. The record is from RNAcentral.